This 405-nucleotide ribosomal RNA is filed under the name uncultured bacterium. RNAcentral's name for it is "bacterial SSU rRNA". It matches the Rfam family "Bacterial small subunit ribosomal RNA", at positions 32 to 433 of the family's 1533-position model. The record is from RNAcentral.
AAUCAACGCUGGCGGCGUGCUUAACACAUGCAAGUCGAUCGGUAACAGGUGUAGCAAUACAUGCUGACGAGAGGCGGACGGGUGAGUAAUGCUUGGGAAUCUGCCUAUUAGUGGGGGACAACCCGGGGAAACUCGGGCUAAUACCGCAUACGCUCUACGGAGGAAAGCCGGGGACCGCAAGGCCUGGCGCUAAUAGAUGAGCCCAAGUCGGAUUAGCUAGUUGGUAGGGUAACGGCCUACCAAGGCGACAAUCCGUAGCUGGUCUGAGAGGACGACCAGCCACACCGGAACUGAGACACGGUCCGGACUCCUACGGGAGGCAGCAGUGGGGAAUAUUGGACAAUGGGGGCAACCCUGAUCCAGCGACGCCGCGUGGGUGAAGAAGGCCUGCGGGUUGUAAAGCCC